CGUUCAGGAGUACCCCGUGGAGUUCCCAGCUACCAAGGUUGGUCCGGUUUCUGAUUGCGCGAUCUGCUUCACUCACUAACACAUUGCCGUUGUGUAUAACGGGUGCUUUCUUCACACACUCCUGCUUUCCAGGGUCUGGCUUCUUACUUUCUCUCCUGACUCAUCCUACUUGGAGCGACUUGGAGGAGGCGAGAAUUUCCAAGUGCUUGGGUCUCUAGCCCACCUUGGAAUUGAGCCGGAAGCCACUGGUGUCAUCACCUUUGUCUGGUGUCUUUUCCUGCUGUCUUGAGGCAACCCCAGCAGGGCCAGAACACUCUUCUGUUUCCAGAUGGACACAGCUAACCAGGGACCCUGCCCUCCGAACUCAGCUUCAUGGAACACACACUGUUUAUUCUGUCUCUGCUCUGCCUUGGGGUCAAAUGGCCGCCAGUUCCUGUAACCCUGUCUUCUGGGGUACUGAUUUGUUCCUUUAUUCGUGCUUCUCUGAGAACCUGUUGGAUACUAGUUGUAUGCCCACUUCUGCCUUGCCUCAUUGCGUCUCCAUCU
RNAcentral lists this long non-coding RNA (546 nucleotides) under Rattus norvegicus (Norway rat). RNAcentral describes it as "long non-coding RNA NONRATT018770". The record is from RNAcentral. Lineage: Eukaryota; Metazoa; Chordata; Mammalia; Rodentia; Muridae.